GAUGAAGAACGCAGCGAAAUGCGAUACGUAAUGUGAAUUGCAGAAUUCAGUGAAUCAUCGAGUCUUUGAACGCACAUUGCGCCCCCUGGUAUUCCGGGGGGCAUGCCUGUCCGAGCGUCAUUGCUGCCCUCAAGCACGGCUUGUGUGUUGGGCCUCCGUCCUCCUCCCGGGGGGACGGGCCCGAAAGGCAGCGGCGGCACCGCGUCCGGUCCUCGAGCGUAUGGGGCUUUGUCACCCGCUCUGUAGGCCCGGCCGGCGCUUGCCGAUCAACCAAAACUUUUUUCCAGGUUGACCUCGGAUCAGGUAGGGAUACCCGCUGAACUUAAGCAUAUCAAUAAGCGGAGGA
RNAcentral lists this unclassified non-coding RNA (346 nucleotides) under soil metagenome. RNAcentral describes it as "partial contains 5.8S ribosomal RNA, internal transcribed spacer 2, and large subunit ribosomal RNA". The stretch from base 1 to 120 matches the Rfam family "5.8S ribosomal RNA", at positions 35 to 154 of the family's 154-position model. The record is from RNAcentral.